AUCGGACAUGCGUCCUCCUCCCUCCUCCUGCCUCCCUCUCUGCAUUUGACAGUGUCCCUCCCUCUUUCUCUCUCCUCCUCCUUCUCCUCUCAUUAGGGCUUUUCACCGGCAAAACACCGACACACUCCCUCUCCCUGUAACCGGGUAAUACACACGGAUCGGCGGCAGCAGCAGGAUUGAGCCCCGGUGCGCACCAUCCAUGGUCCUCCCCUUGAUGUGGGUCUGACAGGAGGGUUGGUGUUACUUCUCUGAAGAGACGAGGCAAGAGGCAGAGUCGGAGGCGAAGUGAUCGAGACAGGAGUCCUCCCAGACAGCAGGGGGCAGCAGCGAGCAUGCAGGAAUCAGCCUCGGACAGCAAGAUGGCCAAACAGGACCAGAACUCCAAGUAUCUGGAUGAAAACAGAGAAACAGACGACAUGUCGGAGAAAACGUCGCCAAACAAGAACCUCAAAUCUCCCCAGAAAGGCUCCAAACGACUCAAAACCGCCCCCUUCAAAAUCACCCUGCUGGACACAUCGGAGUUCGAAGGCGAAAUUGAGAAACACUCCAAAGGACAGAGCCUGACGGACAUGGUGUGUGAGCAUCUCAACUUAUUGGAGAAGGACUACUAUGGUCUGACCUUUGCUGACACCGACACCCAGAAGAACUGGUUGGACCCCUCUAAGGAGAUCAAGAAGCAGAUGCACAACUCUCCGUGGCACUUUGCCUUCUCUGUCAAGUUCUACCCUCCAGAUCCCUCCCAGCUCACGGAGGAUAUUACCAGAUACUACCUGUGUCUGCAGCUGAGGGAUGACAUGCUGUCAGGUCGGCUGCCAUGCUCCUUCGUCACUCACGCCCUCCUCGGCUCCUACAGCGUUCAAGCCGAGCUGGGCGACUACGACCAGGACGACCACGGCUCCGACUACGUCAGCGAUUUCCGCUUCGCUCCCAAUCAGACUCGCGAGCUGGAGGAGAGGGUGAUGGAGCUCCAUCAUAACUACAAGGGGAUGACUCCAGCAGAGGCUGAAAUUAACUUCUUGGAGAACGCAAAGAAACUGUCGAUGUACGGGGUGGACCUCCAUCACGCUAAGGAUUCUGAAGGGAUUGAAAUAAUGUUGGGCGUCUGUGCCAACGGCCUGCUGAUUUACCGAGAUAGGCUGAGGAUCAACCGCUUUGCCUGGCCAAAGAUCCUGAAGAUCUCCUACAAGAGGAGCAACUUCUACAUCAAGAUACGACCUGGGGAGUACGAGCAGUUUGAAAGUACAAUCGGUUUUAAGCUUCCUAACCACCGAGCUGCCAAGAGGCUGUGGAAGGUCUGCAUUGAGCAUCACACCUUCUUCAGACUGGUGUCUCCAGAGCCUCCUCCAAAGGGCUUCUUGGUGAUGGGUUCAAAGUUCAGAUACAGUGGAAGGACACAGGCUCAAACCAGGCAGGCCAGUGCUCUCAUAGACCGGCCCGCUCCACACUUUGAGCGUUCAGCCAGCAAGAGGUACCUGCUGUCCCGGAGCCUGGACGGAGCCGAGUUCUCGAGGCCGGUCUCAGCGAUGUGUGAGAACCACGACGGGCUCACCCGACGCAGCGUCAGCGAGCAGCGGCGCCUCCACAGCCCCUCGGUGGAGGAGCAGCAGGAGGUGGAGCUGGAGCCUAGUAUGGAGCAGGACGAGGACGAGGACAAGGACGAGGACAAAGACCAGGACCACAGCGAGAUGACCGAGGAGUACUAUGACGGCGAGGUCACUCCAAGCAGAAAGAAAGAGAUCAUGGAGGAGGCUGGGUCACCAGUUGACAGUAAACAGGAGCUUUCUCAGUUGGAUCAGGAGUCCACUCCUCGGCACAAACAGGAGUUUCUGGAUAAGUCGAAGGAUGUUUUGCUGAAGCACCAGGCGAGCAUCAACGAGCUGAAGAAGGCCCUGAAGGAGCCCAACAGCAAGCUGUCGGUCCGCGAGAAACGUCUGUCGGGAACUUCCCCGACCGGCACGCCGGAGAGGAAGGCUUCGGCGGUCCGAGCAGUGGGGAAGGACCCUGUUAACAGCCUGUCUGUUGAGGGUUUCGUCCAGAAGACGGUGGUGACUUCACCUGAGGGCUCUGAGGAGUGGGUAUUGAUUGAAAAACAAGAAACUUAUCUACAGGACCAAGACUGGAAGGCAGAAGAAAUGAACAAAUUGGAUUCUUCAUGGGAGAAAGAGGAGCUGGAAAAAGAGAUAGACAUAACCAAGAUGAUACAUAAGGAGGUAACAGGGUAUGACAGCAAAGAAAUGAAAAGCCAUAUUGAUGAAUUUUCAUCAACCAAAGAGGCAGAGGAGUGCUCUGAGCCACGGCCGACUAACAAAAGUCGUUUUAUGGUUCAAUUAUCUGAAAAUGCAGACUUGAAUCUUGACAAAUCUCAAAGUAAACUAUCUCAAAACUCUGACACCGAUGCAAACAAUGAUUUUGCCCCGGGCUCACGGCAGAUGAAAGACCGUACAGCUUCGAAACCAAGGAAAAAGAGGAGACCCCAGAGCUUAAACCUGGGUAUGCCUCCCGAGCUCAUUUACGGGAAAGAAAGCAGUGACUCUACUGACGAAGACAAUAACGGCUCAGACUUGGACAUCAGUCCAGAAAAAACCUCAAAAGCCGGAAAUCAUUGCGACCUAUCGCCAGUGGAGAUGGUGAAGGAUGAUCAGGGAUCAGAAAAAGAUGAGUCUUUCAGGGUCUACAAAGACGACCAAGAAGAUAUAUCAGUAGAGAGUGAAAACAUGGAGGUAGAAGCAGAGCAGGUAAAGAGGAAAGUGAGUCAGGUUGGGCCAGCUGAUAUCGAUAUGGUGAAUGGCCCCGGAAAGAUGGAGCAUGAUAGUUCAGUAGCAGGUGUUAAAGGGGAGUGUGGGAUGAAGUCGCGAGGACGGGGUCUUAUUGACAACAAAGAUCUAGCUGAGGUAAAGCUGCGACAGGUCAGGACGCAUGAGAGGAAGAUCAGUAGUUCGGGGGGAGAGGAUAUUGAGGGUUUAUUGGGAGACAGAGGCCAGAGAACGUCUCUCCAACGACUGUCAGGCAGCAGCUUUCAGUCAGAAAUCACCAGGAUUGUUCCUCUUAAGCCAGAGCGAUCAAAGAGUGUAGCGUGUAAGGACGAAAGGGGCUGGGAAGAGCCCACGGGACUCGUCAGAAGGGAAUACCGCUGGUCGGUGGGUUCUCCGGAGGCGUCCUCGGACCUCUCCUGGACAGACUCCGCCGCCUUUCAUCCAUCUUUUGCAGCAGAUCUGGAGGGAAUCACUAGAGCAGAAUAUCCUGAUGACAGCUAUCAGUUUGGUAGAGGACCGACGGAGAGUCAGUCGUUCUGCUCAAAGAUUUCGGCGCUUCACAAAAUGGCUCCCCCGGCCCCGCCAGUAAAAACACAGAAGGCCCGAGAAUCUGGACUCAUACUGCGGAACAGCCGAAACCCUGGCAGGGAGCCGAGUCUGGACGCAGCCAAGAAGAGACACUCGGAGCCCGUCUCUACUCCUGCCAUUUAUGAAGAGCCGUUUGCUGAUUUCAAGAAGGAGCUCGGGGACAGGAGGCCUCUGCCCAGAUUAGCGUCAGAGGAGGAGCAGGACCGGGACACGGUGGCCUGCAUGAGAGAAUCCCACCUGGGCAUCGAGCGUAAAUGUUCCAGCAUGACGGUGAGCUCCACGUCGAGCCUGGAGGCGGAGGUGGACUUCACCGUCCUGAUGGACCUCCACUCCGGAUUUGAAGACUUCUCUAAGGGCACGUCGGAGCACGGAGAGCGGGACAGGCAGCCUGAGGUGUGCCGGGAAGAUUUUGAAGAGACCUCCAGGUUCUACUCUGCCCGUCUGAUGGGCUCCCGGGACAAGUCUCCCAUAGAGGAGGGAACACAUCACGAGCCUCCCGUGGCAAAGAAAGAAGCCAGUGCUGUGAGUGCGGCCCACAUCAUGAAGAGGGCUGAUAGCAAGAAGGAGACACACACAAAUGGAUCAGAGGCCCACUCCAACAUCAUGAAUGCCUCACCGCAGAACCACGGAGGCGUCAGCCCGAGGGAGGCUCCUGCUGCCCUGAAAGAAAAUGGCUCGCCUGUAAAAGCUGCGACCCAGGAGAGGGACUCUGUUGUUUCCCCGCUGACCAUCACAGCUGAGAGCGUCACCACAGCAACCACAACUCAAGUUACCAAGACUGUGAAAGGAGGUUACUCAGAGACAAGAAUCGAGAAGAGGAUAAUAAUCACAGGAGACGACGAUGUGGACCAGCAUCAGGCCCUCGCCAUGGCCAUCCAGGAGGCCAAGCAGCAGCACCCUGACAUGCUGGUGACAAAAGCUGUGGUUAUCAGGGAAACAGAGUCUCCUACUGAGGAGAUGCAGCAGCACUCAGAGAUUGCUGAAUGGGUUUACUGGACAUAGGCCCUCGGACCAGAGGGGACAGAGGGACCCUCGCCCAGAACCUCUGCUUUAUGUGGGUGCUAACAUUUCAUUCCUGAUCGGCCAUGAAGGCUCCUGAGACGGGGGGACAGGAGAGGGUCCUGUUUGUCCCCUGGCAAACCCCUCAGACACCAGGACCCUCCACCCCGCCUGUGUAAAAACACCAACACCAGAACAGUUCCUCCUCCACUCUGUACCCUUUAGACGGACCAACUGUGACACCGCUUGUGACCCAACCCGACCCUCCACCACUUUAGGGAACAGGAAGAAUCCGCUAUUGGAUGAUUCACCACUUGGUUCAUCAAGUCACGGCUGUUUUACUUCAGCUCUGUUGUCGACAAAAAACGUAGUUGCAUUUGAUGUCAUCUUGAUAUUUGAAUCAAUCAACCCAAUUCCCUCAAAAAUGGCUUCUGUCACAUAUGAAAGGUAUAACAGCAUGGGUGUAUAAAGAGAAUUGGAUACCAAAACAGACUUUACUCGAGAACAGAAAUACUCGGAUCAUCCAUGGAUCUUACAGCAUCCCCAUUUUACAACUUCUAGGCCCUGCUUAUUUAUAUUGAUUUAUCGAUAAGGGCUAAUCAGUGUUUGUCCUGUUUUUAUUUACUUACUUACUAAAAUCCCAAUGUAAGUCAAUGAGGGCCAAAAUGACAUCACGGACUGUAGUACCACCGUUUGGCCACUAGGAAAUUUGCUUCCACGCCUGGUCGCUUCUUGUAUUAGAGCAGAGGGAAAUGACGGAGACAAUGCUGGUGGUGGGGUGAGACGGGGAGGGUGGUGUCAGGCGGCCUUUUUGCUCGACGUCGCCACCUCCUGGCUGUGACCUUCAGUAUAAUCAACUGCUGUCUUAUUAGCUUUUUACAUUUUUAUCUAUAGAGGAUCUAAUUUAUGUCCAGUGUUUGCUUGUUUAUGAAAUAUGUAUAAUAUCAGAUGACUAUAAUCUGCAUGAUUCAAUAAAAAAAAAUAGCAGAGGGAAUGAAAAAAAUAAACCACUUGUCCACAUUUGAAAUCCAUAGAAAGAUAAUGGGACUGAACUGUAAAAAUCCCUUGAUGGACACAUGGAGGAGACGGACAGUUGCGUAACACUUCAGUGGACAGCUGGGACAAUCACUGUCCACAUCACAUUCAACGUUCCCACUUUCAUUUUGACGUCUAUUUGCCAUCUACACUGAGAAAUGCUGGUCACAUGUUUUGGGCAAAGUUAAAGGAUUUUUAAAGAUAUUUUAAUAUAAAUAAUGUUUUAUCUAAUAUGUGUUGAUACUUCCUAAUUUGCUUUUACUGACUUCCAUCUUGAAACAGAGACUGUAAUGUUAUUCUUGUGCUUUUAGACGUUUUAGUGUUGAUGUGUGAGACAUACGGAGGGGAUUUAGGUGCCACAACAAAACGGAGAAGUAGGACUUUUUAUUCAUUGACAAUUAGCAUUUUUAGAAUCAACUUAUUUGUUGAAAUGUCGAGAAAAACUUGAAAAGACAAACUUUGAAAAGUCAAAACAACUAAUAAAUCAAAGAUUCUGGCGUUGAAUAGCCUACAUUAUUAAAAUGUUGACUAUAUUCUGGAAUUGUAAAACUUCCUCCUCAUUUCCCCCUUAGCCCUUAUAUCAUACUCUUCUGUAGAAACCUCUUUAUUUAAGAGCUUCAUUAAAAGUUACGUUUCACUGGAGAACCUACAAAGUUAAUCACAGACCCAAAACUUUUAAAAAUGGUGAAGUUGUGAAUGAAAAAUGCAUUGAAUUUGGUUGCUUAUAAUAGCAGCUUUUAAACACCAAAAUAAAUGUAUGUUACAGUUGGAUCCAUUACAAAUCCACACUGCCUAAAACGUUCAAAACCACAAGAAAAUAACAAGGGUACUUUUUUUCUGUUCAGUUGGAUUAACUCAAUUUAAGUUAUGGUGUAUGAGUUGUAAUGUAUUUAUAGGAGUGGUGAAUGUGAGGCCUGUACUUGUUCUCCCUGUUCCCCCGACAGACAAAGCCAAGACUUCAUAGUGUGACCUAAACGAAGCGCCGUCUAACCCCGUUGGCUGUCACACAACUAGUGUUGCAACAUUCCGAGAUGUUUCCAAGAUGGAAACUUGAACAGGAAUUUAUGGGAAUAAACUGGGAAUUUUCUAAAUUGAAGGUUGGCUCUUUAUAGGGAACUUAAAUAUAGUUGGGGAAAGUAUAUUUUAGCAUAAUCUUGACUAAAACAAACAGAUGCCAUUCAAGUACACUUGAAUAUCCAUGCCAUAGCACACUGCUUACUGCAUGGCUAUUGGGACCACACCCCCUACAGGCACUGUGCAUUCCUCCAUCACAUGCACACAUGAGUAAUAUUUAACUCAACAUUCCUGUUUUCGUUCUUCAAUGAAACAAAUAAUUGUUCAAUAAAAUAAUGAAAUCAAAUCAAAUUAAAAUUUUAUUUUUUAAAUCUGUUGAAAUGUCAUGUUUUUUGUUUAAUUUUGCAUCGAAUAUUUCCAAAAUUCCCCAGCUUAACUUCCCAUAGAAACCUUCCGGAAAUGUUCCGCCCCUUUGCAACCCUACACACAACACAUACCCUGGAUGACCUUUAAUAAUAUACUAUGCAUCACUUACCAUACAUAAUAACCCCUGUGAUGGAGCCUGACCCGCUUUAGCCGUCAUUGUUAACUUCGUGCUACUGCUAACCGAAAGGCAGCGCUUGUGAGAUUUUGCAAUAAGCAACCAUUAUUCCACCCUCUCUCCUCUUAAGGGAGACAACUGUGAACUCUCAUGUGUAACCAAAACCUAUAACGCAGAGUUUGUGAUAUUAAAAAGGAGCUUUUCCAACACUUGUGACCAUGGCUUUGUCCCCCCCGUCGUCUAACCCUCCCAAAUCCCCCGACCUCAAACUGUCGCCCUGCUGAUGAUGUGUCUGAGGAAAUGAGAUUCCCCAAAACUGGUUAUUUGUAUAUUAUAUUUUGUUUCUGGUCGUAUGACACUGGACUGUUGUGAAGGCAUAUUUGUUACUGUAAACCUGUGAUACUCAACUUAGCGAACCAAAUCUGGCCCUCAAUAGGAUCCCCAUCGACCAAUUAUUAAUUCAGAAAAUAGAGAAAGCGAUUGACAGUUGUAAUUGUAUGAUGCUUUUAAUAUACAUUUGGAACAAUAGUGCUCAAAUUUGCAUCUAAAUUGAUCAAAAUACUUUUUUUAUUCAUACAAAAAGGGAUAAAAAAAAGCUACCUUGCCCCAAUAUUUAACAGAAGAAUAUGUUAAAUUCUUGUAAAAUAUUGGAUUUAUUUGUAAUUUUGGCCUAGUGUCAACCCUGCUAAAGGAAUAUUGUCAAUUUUCAAAUAAAGCAUUUCAAUGAAAGAAGAAUACAAUUUGUAUCAAAACCACAUUGUGUAAUGAUAUGAAAAAUGUAAUUGUUACGUUUCAUUAUUUAAUCAUUAGGUUAUAAACAGCUUGAACACAACAUGUACAACUAUUCCCAGCUAGAAUGUAUUAAUAAUGCUUGAUGCUUUGAUGGUAACGUUUAUUUGUGUUGGUUAUUACAUGAAGCAUGUGUUAUAAUCAUGAAAAGUAAGUGCAUUUCCCACCUUUUGUAAAAACAACUGCAAUAUAAGAUCCAAUAUGUCCAAAUGCAAGUGUAUUACAUAUUGCAUUCAAGCUGUUUACUUAUUAUGUAAUGUGGUGUAAUUACACAAUGUGUAUUUUAAUACAUUUUAAUAUUUGUUUAUGAUCUAGCCCCUUGUAUCCUGUCAUUUUACAAAAGUGGCCCCCGGGCGAGUUGAGUAUCUUUGCUGAAAACAGAUGGGUGUAGUUUUGUACCGAUGGAUGAAAUGACUGCAUCAUGAGAAGCGCUGUGUGUGUUUGGUGAGGUGGUGAAUUGAAGGAUGGAGGGCCUAUAUUUAUGUAUAGAUAUCCAUACUUCUGUGUAUAAUCUGUAAAGUAUGUAGAAUCUAAGCAGGAGAAAGGAAGUGUUUUAUAGGGGGAGAUAUGAGGCAGUCAGUGUAAUCCCACCGCAGUAGAAGUGACACAUGAAUGGGUGCCUUAUGUUGGGAGUCGUGGUUAUGGGGGGAGUUUUCAGCGCCGUUAAUCAACACGACCUCCCUCUCAGUCCAAGGUGUCUCGAAAGUGAUUUACUGUCUUGUAAAAUAAUGUGACAUUGAGCGUAGAGACGAAAUAAGUAUCUUGUUAAGCGAGAUGAAAACAUGUAUUGGCCCCAUUAGAAAACCAGCAUAGUUCAGUUAUUUAUUUUCUCCAUGAAGAGCAUCAAACCGCUAUUUAGCCUCCACCUUCAAUUCUCCACUGCCUUUUGCUCUACAUCCCCCUAGUGCUUGGUAGUGUGUACUUGCUGUAUUUGCAUUCAGUCUAAAUGGAAAACAUACAUGCAUAAAUAAAUGUCUCAAUAUGAUUCAAA
This is an RNA transcript of Gymnodraco acuticeps, 8710 nucleotides long. It is a transcript of the gene named band 4.1-like protein 1, with no coding region annotated. The record is from RefSeq and is a predicted model, not a curated record. Lineage: Eukaryota; Metazoa; Chordata; Actinopteri; Perciformes; Bathydraconidae. The transcript has 26 exons.